GCGGGUGUGGCGGAAUUGGCAGACGCGCAAGAUUCAGGUUCUUGUGGCCGCAAGGUCGUGGAGGUUCGACUCCUCUCACCCGCA
Molecule: transfer RNA, 84 nt
Filed under: Planctomycetales bacterium
Lineage: Bacteria; Pseudomonadati; Planctomycetota; Planctomycetia; Planctomycetales
Description: tRNA-Leu
Rfam family: tRNA
About the family: Transfer RNA (tRNA) molecules are approximately 80 nucleotides in length.
Source: RNAcentral